UGGGGCGUCGCCAAGUGGUAAGGCAGCAGGUUUUGAUCCUGCCAUUCGAUGGUUCGAAUCCAUCCGCCCCAUCCA
Molecule: transfer RNA, 75 nt
Filed under: Solimonas sp.
Lineage: Bacteria; Pseudomonadati; Pseudomonadota; Gammaproteobacteria; Nevskiales; Nevskiaceae
Also listed under: 1 other name
Description: tRNA-Gln
Rfam family: tRNA
About the family: Transfer RNA (tRNA) molecules are approximately 80 nucleotides in length. Their secondary structure includes four short double-helical elements and three loops (D, anti-codon, and T loops).
Source: RNAcentral